Long non-coding RNA from Octopus sinensis (East Asian common octopus), 98 nucleotides. RefSeq lists it as uncharacterized. The transcript is spliced from 3 exons. NCBI's taxonomy places the organism in Eukaryota, Metazoa, Mollusca, Cephalopoda, Octopoda, Octopodidae. The record is from RefSeq and is a predicted model, not a curated record.
GUAUGAAUAUGUUUGUCAUAAGUUAAAGCACUACCAACUGUGAAUGAUUUACCACUGAUAUCACAAUGAUAAGGUUUCUCUCCUGAAUGAAUACGUUU